UUAUAUAGUUUAAAUAUAAAACAUUACAUUUUCAUUGUAAAAAUAAAAAAAUUAUUUUUAUAAAUA
RNAcentral lists this transfer RNA (66 nucleotides) under Kallimoides rumia. Its description in RNAcentral is "tRNA-Glu". Lineage: Eukaryota; Metazoa; Arthropoda; Insecta; Lepidoptera; Nymphalidae. The record is from RNAcentral.